RNAcentral lists this ribosomal RNA (433 nucleotides) under uncultured bacterium. RNAcentral's name for it is "partial 16S ribosomal RNA". It matches the Rfam family "Bacterial small subunit ribosomal RNA", at positions 29 to 507 of the family's 1533-position model. The record is from RNAcentral.
AACGAACGCUGGCGGCAUGCCUAACACAUGCAAGUCGAACGAGACCUUCGGGUCUAGUGGCGCACGGGUGCGUAACGCGUGGGAACCUGCCCUUAGGUUCGGAAUAACUCCCCGAAAGGGGUGCUAAUACCGGAUAAUGUCUUCGGACCAAAGAUUUAUCGCCUUUGGAUGGGCCCGCGUUGGAUUAGCUAGUUGGUAGGGUAAAAGCCUACCAAGGCGACGAUCCAUAGCUGGUCUGAGAGGAUGAUCAGCCACACUGGGACUGAGACACGGCCCAGACUCCUACGGGAGGGAGCAGUGGGGAAUAUUGGACGAGGGGCGAAAGCCUGAUCCAGCAAUGCCGCGUGAGUGAUGAAGGCCUUAGGGUUGUAAAGCUCUUUUACCCGGGAUGAUAAUGACAGUACCGGGAGAAUAAGCUCCGGCUAACUCCGUG